RNAcentral lists this ribosomal RNA (429 nucleotides) under uncultured bacterium. RNAcentral describes it as "bacterial SSU rRNA". It matches the Rfam family "Bacterial small subunit ribosomal RNA", at positions 355 to 776 of the family's 1533-position model. The record is from RNAcentral.
UCGCGAAUUUUUCUCAAUGGGCGCAAGCCUGAAGAAGCCAUGCCGCGUGCGGGACGAAGGCCCUCUGGGUUGUAAACCGCUGUCAGGGAAGGGGAAACGUGCGAUGUUAAUAGCGUCGUAUUUGACUGCUUUCCAAAGGAAGCACCGGCAAAACAUGUGCCAGCAGCCGCGGUAAUACAUGUGGUGCAAGCGUUGUUCGGAAUUACUGGGCAUAAAGGGUGCGUAGGCGGUGUCGUCAGUCUGGGGUGAAAUCCUGCGGCCCAACCGUGGGACUGCCUCGGAUACUGCGAUGCUUGAGUGCGUGAGGGGUGAUCGGAACGCGUGGUGUAGCGGUGAAAUGCGUAGAUAUCACGCGGAAGGCCAACGGCGAAGGCAGAUCACUGGCGCGCAACUGACGCUGAGUGCACGAAAGCGUGGGGAGCAAACAGG